RNAcentral lists this ribosomal RNA (632 nucleotides) under Rotylenchulus reniformis. Its description in RNAcentral is "SSU rRNA". It matches the Rfam family "Eukaryotic small subunit ribosomal RNA", at positions 1004 to 1663 of the family's 1831-position model. Lineage: Eukaryota; Metazoa; Nematoda; Chromadorea; Rhabditida; Hoplolaimidae. The record is from RNAcentral.
GGGAUCAGAUACCGCCCUAGUUCUGACCGUAAACGAUGCCAACUAGCGAUCCGCCGGCGGAUUCAUUCGCCCUGGUGGGGAGCUUCCCGGAAACGAAAGUCUUCCGGUUCCGGGGGAAGUAUGGUUGCAAAGCUGAAACUUAAAGGAAUUGACGGAAGGGCACCACCAGGAGUGGAGCCUGCGGCUUAAUUUGACUCAACACGGGGAAACUCACCCGGCCCGGACACCGUAAGGAUUGACAGAUUGAUAGCUUUUUCAUGAUUCGGUGGAUGGUGGUGCAUGGCCGUUCUUAGUUCGUGGAGCGAUUUGUCUGGUUUAUUCCGAUAACGAGCGAGACUCUGGCCUACUAAAUAGUUGGCACAUUGCCACUGUGUGCCCAACUUCUUAGAGGGAUUUUCGGUGUUCAGCCGCACGAAAUUGAGCAAUAACAGGUCUGUGAUGCCCUUAGAUGUCCGGGGCUGCACGCGCGCUACACUGGCAAAAUCAGCGUGCUUGUCCUCCCCCGAAAGGGGUUGGUAAACCGAUGAAAAUUUGCCGUGAUUGGGAUCGGACAUUGCAAUUAUUGUCCGUGAACGAGGAAUCCCUUGUAAGGGCGAGUCAUCAACUCGUCCUGAAUACGUCCCCGCCCUUGU